GAGGUUGGACUAAGUGGGUGCUGUUGUCACUGGGCUCCAAAGGACGGUGAUUCUGUGUUGCUAUGGGGAUGAGGUUAUGUGACUCACACGCACAGCAUGUUCUGUUGCUAAGCUACAAAAGUUAGAAGUUCUUGGGUCUACUCUGAGGGGACAAAGUGUAUGGAGGUGUGAUUUACAGAAGAGAGAAAGGUGCUCUCCAGAGGAGGAGACUGGAGCUGCCUUAUGAGCUCGCCUCGUCGGAGCCCACCGUCCCCUGGAGGUGCGUACACGGACCACUUGGACUCCGGCAUAAAUCCAUUUUGGCUCAUACACUUUGUAAAAAUCUUGAAUAGAAUUUGAUAAAACUUCUGACGUUUCUCGGUGUAGUUUUGAUUUUCGGCGGACACAACAUCUUUGUAUGUGGUGCUGAGGAUGGAACCCGGGCCGAACGCAUGCCAGGCGAGCGCGCUACCGCUUGAGCCACAUCUCCAGCCCUUAAGAGAUUACUUUUAAUUAUUUAAUACCAUAAAUUCAAAAGUAAGUGGGACAAUAGUCUAGAAAAAUGUAAAUUACUAAAAUUGACAAACACCUCAAAUGAACUACAUAUGCAUAUUACAGAGAUUUUAAGUAGAAUUUGAUAAAAUUAAAAAAA
Long non-coding RNA from Marmota monax (woodchuck), 631 nucleotides. RefSeq lists it as uncharacterized. NCBI's taxonomy places the organism in Eukaryota, Metazoa, Chordata, Mammalia, Rodentia, Sciuridae. The transcript is spliced from 5 exons. The record is from RefSeq and is a predicted model, not a curated record.